UCUGGGGGAUGAGACCCAUGAGCUGGUCU
This 29-nucleotide non-coding RNA is filed under the name Homo sapiens (human). Lineage: Eukaryota; Metazoa; Chordata; Mammalia; Primates; Hominidae. The record is from RNAcentral.